CCUACGGGGGGCAGCAGUGGGGAAUAUUGGGCAAUGGAGGCAACUCUGACCCAGCAACGCCGUGUGAAUGAUGAAGGUCUUCGGAUUGUAAAGUUCUUUUCUAAGGGAAGAAGAAAGUGACGGUACCUUAGGAAUAAGCCUCGGCUAACUACGUGCCAGCAGCCGCGGUAAUACGGAGGGUGCAAGCGUUACUCGGAAUCACUGGGCGUAAAGAGCGCGUAGGCGGGAUAGCAAGUCAGAUGUGAAAUCCUAUGGCUUAACCAUAGAACUGCAUUUGAAACUGUUAUUCUAGAGUAUGGGAGAGG
This 305-nucleotide ribosomal RNA is filed under the name uncultured bacterium. Its description in RNAcentral is "bacterial SSU rRNA". It matches the Rfam family "Bacterial small subunit ribosomal RNA", at positions 338 to 657 of the family's 1533-position model. The record is from RNAcentral.